UGGAGGCCAACCUCUCCAGAAAGCUAGGAUACCGAUGGAAGAGCCAGAGCCUCCCAACAAGGUGGGAGGUCAGGCCAGUGGCUCCUCCGUGGCAUCAGUGGCUGGUGUCCCUGUGGACUCUGCAGAUGUGGCUACAGGCUGCUUAGCAUUAGGGUGCGGCGUGGGUGAUCUGAGGUGCAGGCUGGUCCCUUGGCCCGGUACUCACCCUGGCGGCCUCCUCUCUGCAGGGAGACAGGCCCUCAGGCACUGCCUCGGUCCUGGACUGGUGGCGACAACGGUGACACACGUGGCUCUCUUUCUCACCUAGAUUGGUAUUACCACCUCCCGGCCAAGCGCUCCGAGAAGGCGGUGGGCGCCCCACCGGCAUCGCAGAUCCCAGGGCUGAGCGACGUGGGGGCCUUGCAGGACCACAGCACGUUGGCGGCUAGGAGGUACUGGAUCAAGGACACGGACUCUGCGUACGUGAAGCUCGCCAAGCAGGGCGGCAGGCCUGACUUGCUGAAGCACUCCGCAGCACCCGGGACCAGAAAGGGCUCUCCGGUGGCCUACACCCUGCCCGACUGGUACAUCCAUCACAGCAAGCCGCCCACCGCCAGCCGGCGUCCGGUGCCCGUGGUCACCAUGCCAGAUUACAUGGUAUACGAAGAGUUCCACCCCAGCCAAGCCAACGGUGGCUACGAGUCUAGAAGAGGACCCUUCAACUUCGACAUGAAAACAGUGUGGCAGAGAGAGGCCGAAGAGCUUGAGGAGAAAAAGAAGGUGAGGCUGCCGGCCAUUAACUCAAAGCACCCCAACAAAGUGGGGACGCCGGUGGGUGCCAGAGACUCUGAGGGAAGCAGGCUGUCUUUCCCCCCCAUGUAAGUGUCCAGGCAUCUUUCCCUUUCUUUCUUUCUUUCUUUCUUUCUUUCUUUCUUUCUUUCUUUCUUUCUUUCUUUCUUUCUUUCUUUCUUUCUUUCUUUCUUUCUUUCUUUCUUUCUU
This 978-nucleotide long non-coding RNA is filed under the name Fukomys damarensis (Damara mole-rat). RNAcentral describes it as "lncRNA (ENSFDAG00000030801.1)". The record is from RNAcentral. Lineage: Eukaryota; Metazoa; Chordata; Mammalia; Rodentia; Bathyergidae.